Molecule: transfer-messenger RNA, 385 nt
Filed under: Alphaproteobacteria bacterium
Lineage: Bacteria; Pseudomonadati; Pseudomonadota; Alphaproteobacteria
Rfam family: Alphaproteobacteria transfer-messenger RNA
About the family: Bacterial tmRNA, also known as 10Sa RNA or SsrA, is named for its dual tRNA and mRNA-like properties. Its role is to liberate the mRNA from a stalled ribosome.
Source: RNAcentral
UUUAUUGAAAAAGUACCCCCAAAAUGCUAUAUUAAAAGUGCCGGCUUGCCGGCUAUGACGCUAAACCCCAUGCGGAAUAGGCGUAGUGGACCCGGGGGCAGUGCCCGGCGGCUCCACCAAAAUGCGUCAAUCGACGUGUUUUGGCGGGGCCGAAACAGGAUCGACACGCGCAAUAAAGGUUUGGGCUGUUUCCGUACAGGUACCAGUCGUUAUCUGGCCAUUUUAUAAAUGCAAACGAUAACUCUAUGUUCGUUGCUGCUAAUGACAACCGCGAGGUUGCUUUCGCAGCUGCAGCCUAAUUUAUUAGGUUGUAAAGCAUCAAAUCCCUAGGGCUUGAACUCCCUAGGUGGGGCGUGGGGCGGCCUCGCAACAGAACUGCCCCGCU